GACUGGGAUAACUCCGGGAAACCGGGGCUAAUACCGGAUAACAUUUUGAACCGCAUGGUUCGAAAUUGAAAGGCGGCUUCGGCUGUCACUUAUGGAUGGACCCGCGUCGCAUUAGCUAGUUGGUGAGGUAACGGCUCACCAAGGCAACGAUGCGUAGCCGACCUGAGAGGGUGAUCGGCCACACUGGGACUGAGACACGGCCCAGACUCCUACGGGAGGCAGCAGUAGGGAAUCUUCCGCAAUGGACGAAAGUCUGACGGAGCAACGCCGCGUGAGUGAUGAAGGCUUUCGGGUCGUAAAACUCUGUUGUUAGGGAAGAACAAGUGCUAGUUGAAUAAGCUGGCACCUUGACGGUACCUAACCAGAAAGCCACGGCUAACUACGUGCCAGCAGCCGCGGUAAUACGUAGGUGGCAAGCGUUAUCCGGAAUUAUUGGGCGUAAAGCGCGCGCAGGUGGUUUCUUAAGUCUGAUGUGAAAGCCCACGGCUCAACCGUGGAGGGUCAUUG
This 507-nucleotide ribosomal RNA is filed under the name Bacillus cereus. RNAcentral describes it as "bacterial SSU rRNA". It matches the Rfam family "Bacterial small subunit ribosomal RNA", at positions 136 to 628 of the family's 1533-position model. Lineage: Bacteria; Bacillati; Bacillota; Bacilli; Caryophanales; Bacillaceae. The record is from RNAcentral.